UGAGUUUAAUUACUUCGUCAUUUUAUGAUCCUGUUGUUAUUUGUGGUUCUUGCUCAUUUAUUUGUAGGAGGAUGACCUUAAGGUACAAAUUGUGAUUGUUGUGUGUUCACAGCCAGCUAGCUGUCAUCUUGCAGAGUUCCUAAAUCACUCUCCUUGUUCUUUCCUAGGCAGGAGCUUCAGAAGCUGACCUGCUAGUCCUGGGAUGUUCCCAGACCAAUGCAUCCCAGGAAUUAACUGUACUGCCACUGGGGUCUUCUCUCUGCUCCUCCUUUUCCUAAAAAGCGCUUCUUCCACAGAGCAGAUGAAAAGAUGCAGGGGCCUCAUUCUGACUCCAGGAAUCUUAUCAAGGGGUCCCUUCACUCUGGACUCUGAGGUGACCGCUUCCUAUUCUGCCAAGAUCAGCCCAAGGCUGCCUCCUUGUUCACUCUGUUCCCACCCUCCUCUGAGGAGCUCCAGCUCAACAAGGCCAUACUGACCUCUCUGAGGAAUGAAUUCUCCACAGGUGUAGUGAGGGUGACCUGGAAGGCACAUGAAAACCUAUCAUCCAGAGCAUGGAUACCGCUAAGCCUCCGAACAGAGCAACAAGAAGCACAUGGCCUGCAGCUACCUAACUAUGACACCUAACCACAGAAAAUCUCACUGUAGACUCAGCUUCCAGGUCAUGCACCAAAGGGACACCAUGGAGAAGAGUGUGUCCAUGGCAAAAGGAACCAGACACCUGAGCUAAGUCCAUGAUGAAGGAUCAGAGGCUGAAAUUCUCUGUUUUUGGUAGGACAUAAGGGAGAGGAAUUUCUAGGUGAAAGGUUCCACAGCUACCUCCUUUU
This 824-nucleotide long non-coding RNA is filed under the name Castor canadensis (American beaver). Its description in RNAcentral is "lncRNA (ENSCCNG00000013151.1)". The record is from RNAcentral. Lineage: Eukaryota; Metazoa; Chordata; Mammalia; Rodentia; Castoridae.